Molecule: ribosomal RNA, 490 nt
Filed under: uncultured bacterium
Lineage: Bacteria
Description: partial 16S ribosomal RNA
Rfam family: Bacterial small subunit ribosomal RNA
Source: RNAcentral
AUUGAACGCUGGCGGCAGGCCUAACACAUGCAAGUCGAACGGUAACAGGAAGCAGCUUGCUGCUUUGCUGACGAGUGGCGGACGGGUGAGUAAUGUCUGGGAAACUGCCUGAUGGAGGGGGAUAACUACUGGAAACGGUAGCUAAUACCGCAUAACGUCGCAAGACCAAAGAGGGGGACCUUCGGGCCUCUUGCCAUCGGAUGUGCCCAGAUGGGGUUAGCUAGUAGGUGGGGUAACGGCUCACCUAGGCGACGAUCCCUAGCUGGUCUGAGAGGAUGACCAGCCACACUGGAACUGAGACACGGUCCAGACUCCUACGGGAGGCAGCAGUGGGGAAUAUUGCACAAUGGGCGCAAGCCUGAUGCAGCCAUGCCGCGUGUAUGAAGAAGGCCUUCGGGUUGUAAAGUACUUUCAGCGGGGAGGAAGGGAGUAAAGUUAAUACCUUUGCUCAUUGACGUUACCCGCAGAAGAAGCACCGGCUAACUCCGUG